Molecule: ribosomal RNA, 253 nt
Filed under: uncultured bacterium
Lineage: Bacteria
Description: partial 16S ribosomal RNA
Rfam family: Bacterial small subunit ribosomal RNA
Source: RNAcentral
UACGAAGGGGGCUAGCGUUGCUCGGAAUCACUGGGCGUAAAGGGUGCGUAGGCGGGUCUUUAAGUCAGGGGUGAAAUCCUGGAGCUCAACUCCAGAACUGCCUUUGAUACUGAAGAUCUUGAGUCCGGGAGAGGUGAGUGGAACUGCGAGUGUAGAGGUGAAAUUCGUAGAUAUUCGCAAGAACACCAGUGGCGAAGGCGGCUCACUGGUCCGGUACUGACGCUGAGGCACGAAAGCGUGGGGAGCAAACAGG